Molecule: ribosomal RNA, 325 nt
Filed under: uncultured soil bacterium
Lineage: Bacteria
Description: bacterial SSU rRNA
Rfam family: Bacterial small subunit ribosomal RNA
Source: RNAcentral
AGAUUGAACGCUGGCGGCAGGCCUAACACAUGCAAGUCGAGCGGUAGAGAGGUGCUUGCACCUCUUGAGAGCGGCGGACGGGUGAGUAAUGCCUAGGAAUCUGCCUAGUGGUGGGGGAUAACGUUCGGAAACGGACGCUAAUACCGCAUACGUCCUACGGGAGAAAGCGGGGGACCUUCGGGCCUCGCGCCAUUAGAUGAGCCUAGGUCGGAUUAGCUAGUUGGUGAGGUAAUGGCUCACCAAGGCGACGAUCCGUAACUGGUCUGAGAGGAUGAUCAGUCACACUGGAACUGAGACACGGGUCCAGACUCCUACGGGAGCAGCA